Molecule: ribosomal RNA, 465 nt
Filed under: Vreelandella stevensii
Lineage: Bacteria; Pseudomonadati; Pseudomonadota; Gammaproteobacteria; Oceanospirillales; Halomonadaceae
Description: partial 16S ribosomal RNA
Rfam family: Bacterial small subunit ribosomal RNA
Source: RNAcentral
CCUACGGGCGGCAGCAGUGGGGAAUAUUGGGCAAUGGGGGGAACCCUGAUCCAGCCAUGCCGCGUGUGUGAAGAAGGCCCUCGGGUUGUAAAGCACUUUCAGUGAGGAAGAACGCCUGGUGGUUAAUACCCAUCAGGAAAGACAUCACUCACAGAAGAAGCACCGGCUAACUCCGUGCCAGCAGCCGCGGUAAUACGGAGGGUGCGAGCGUUAAUCGGAAUUACUGGGCGUAAAGCGCGCGUAGGUGGCUUGAUAAGCCGGUUGUGAAAGCCCCGGGCUCAACCUGGGAACGGCAUCCGGAACUGUCAAGCUAGAGUGCAGGAGAGGAAGGUAGAAUUCCCGGUGUAGCGGUGAAAUGCGUAGAGAUCAGGAGGAAUACCAGUGGCGAAGGCGGCCUUCUGGACUGACACUGACACUGAGGUGCGAAAGCGUGGGUAGCAAACAGGAUUAGAUACCCCUGUAGUC